This 1577-nucleotide ribosomal RNA is filed under the name Lactobacillus acidophilus. RNAcentral describes it as "bacterial SSU rRNA". It matches the Rfam family "Bacterial small subunit ribosomal RNA". The record is from RNAcentral. Lineage: Bacteria; Bacillati; Bacillota; Bacilli; Lactobacillales; Lactobacillaceae.
AGAGUUAAAAAGAGUUGGGCUUGAUCAUGACUCAGGACGAACGCUGGCGGCGUGCCUAAUACAUGCAAGCGGAGCCGGCUGAACCAACAGAUUCAUUUGGGUGAUGACGUGGGGAACGCGAACGGCGGAUCGGUGAGUGCUUAGUGGGGACCCUGCCCAAUAGGGUGGGAUACCACUUGGAAACAGGUGCUAAUACCGGAUAAGAAAGCGUUAUAAAAGGCGGCGUAAGCUGUCGCUAUGGGAUGGCCCCGCGGUGCAUUAGCUAGUUGGUAGGGUAACAGCCUACCAAGGCAAUGAUGCAUAGCCGAGUUGAGAGACUGAUCGGCCACAUUGGGACUGAGACACGGCCGAAACUCCUACGGGAGGCAGCAGUAGGGAAUCUUCCACAAUGGACGAAAGUCUGAUGGAGCAACGCCGCGUGAGUGAAGAAGGUUUUCGGACCGUAAAGCUCGGUUGGUGGUGAAGAAGGAUAGAGGGGGUAACUGGCCUUUAUUUGACGGUAAUCAACCAGAAAGUCACGGCUAACUACGUGCCAGCAGCCGCGGUAAUACGUAGGUGGCAAGCGUUGUCCGGAUUUAUUGGGCGUAAAGCGAGCGCAGGCGGAAGAAUAAGUCUGAUGUGAAAGCCCUCGGCUUAACCGAGGAACUGCAUCGGAAAGGGUUUUUCUUGAGUGCAGAAGAGGAGAGUGGAACGGGAUGUGCCGCGGUGGAAUGCGUAGAUAUAUGGAAGAACGGGAGUGGCGAAGGCGGCUCUCUGGUCGGGAACUGACGCUGAGGCUCGAAAGCAUGGGUAGCGAACAGGAUUAGAUACCCUGGUAGUCCAUGCCGUAAACGAUGAGUGACAAGUGUUGGGAGGUUUCCGCCUCUCAGUGCUGCAGCUAACGCAUUAAGCACUCCGCCUGGGGAGUACGUAAGCACUCCGCCUAGUAAGACCGCAAGGUUGAAACUCAAAGGAAUUAACGGGGACCCGCACAAACGGUGCCGCAUGUGGUUUAAUUCGAAGCAAAACGAAGAACCUUACCAGGUCUUGACAUCUAGUGCAAUCCGUAGAGAUACGGCGUUCCCUUCGGGGACAAAAAGACAGGUGGUGCAUGGCUGUCGUCAGCUCGUGUCGUGAGAUGAACGGUUAAGUCCCGCAACGAGUUCGGACCUUGUCAUUAGUUGCCAGCAUUAAGUUGGGCACUCUAACCCGACUGCCGGUGACAAACCGGAGGAAGGUGGGGAUGACGUCAAGUCAUCAUGCCCCUUAUGACCUGGGCUACACACGUGCUACAAUGGACAGUACAACGAGGAGCAAGCCUGCGAAGGCAAGCGAAUCUCUUAAAGCUGCACUCAGUUCGGACUGCAGUCUGCAACUCGACUGCACGAAGCUGGAAUCGCUAGUAAUCGCGGAUCAGCACGCCGCGGUGAAUACGUUCCCGGGCCUUGUACACACCGCCCGUCACACCAUGGGAGUCUGCAAUGCCCAAAGCCGGUGGCCUAACCUUCGGGAAGGAGCCGUCUAAGGCAGGGCAGAUGACUGGGGUGAAGUCGUAACAAGGUAGCCGUAGGAGAACCUGCGGCUGGAUCACCUCCUUA